Molecule: long non-coding RNA, 734 nt
Filed under: Mytilus galloprovincialis (Mediterranean mussel)
Lineage: Eukaryota; Metazoa; Mollusca; Bivalvia; Mytilida; Mytilidae
Source: RNAcentral
CUUUAAUGUUGUCUUUGUAUAAUUAAUUUUGAAUAAUGUGUUCAUAUCUGGAGAAAUAGGUACAAUUUGAACUCUAGACAUUAAGUGGUUCUGAUAUAAAGCAUUAUUUUAAUAUCAUGGUUGUUUUAAAAAUAAACUUAUGUUUAGACCUUAGGGCUUUUCAAUUAAAACAUACAUGGUACAAAGGUACUUUGAUAACAGAGUGAGAAUCCAUAGGAACAAUUUUAGAGUCAUAUAAAAAAGAAGAUGUGGUAUGAUUGCCAAUGAGACAACUAUUUACAAAAGACCAAAAUGACACAGACAUUAACAACUAUAGGUCACUGUGCUGCCUUCAACAAUGAGCAAAGCCCAUACCGCAUAGUCAGCUAUAAUAGGCCCCGAUAAGACUGUAAAACAAUUCAAACGAGAAAACUAACGGCCUUAUUUAUGUACGAAAAACAAAUAUGCAUACAUUUCAAUUUUGCACACUCUUAUUCAGAGUGCCAAAUUCAAUUUGUGUUCCCUGAUUCCUAUAUAUGUUUUUGUGGAACAGCCCUCAUGAGAGAGACUAACUCAGUUUAAAAUGUUACACUUUUUACCAUUUUGCCUCUGAUUUCGUAAUGUUUUGAGUUAUUUCCCUUUGAUGAAAACAUUCAAAUAAUGAUUUAUAAAGAUUUUUCUUAAUGUUUCUAAUUUUCUGUUUGCUGCAUAUUGGAAGUUAUAGUUAUCAGUUUUUUGUAUGCCUUGGACUCCUG